This 78-nucleotide non-coding RNA is filed under the name uncultured Enterocloster sp. RNAcentral's name for it is "ZMP/ZTP riboswitch". It matches the Rfam family "ZMP/ZTP riboswitch aptamer (pfl RNA motif)". Rfam says of the family: Previously known as pfl RNA. ZMP is also known as AICAR. Lineage: Bacteria; Bacillati; Bacillota; Clostridia; Lachnospirales; Lachnospiraceae. The record is from RNAcentral.
GGGCGUGUGACUGGCGGAUCGUGGAAGCAACCACAGGGAGCACGUCAGAAGAUUUUAGAGCCGACCGCCUGGGCACAC